UAGAGUAAUGCGUGACCAACCUGCCCCAUGCUCCAGAAUAGCUCUUGGAAACGGGUGGUAAUGCUGGAUGCUCCAACUUGACGCAUGUCUUGUUGGGAAAGUGUUUAGUGGCAUGGGAUGGGGUCGCGUCCUAUCAGCUUGUAGGCGGGGUAAUGGCCCACCUAGGCUUCGACGGGUAGCCGGCCUGAGAGGGCGGACGGCCACAUUGGGACUGAGAUACGGCCAGACUCCUACGGGAGGCAGCAGUG
RNAcentral lists this ribosomal RNA (248 nucleotides) under uncultured Gardnerella sp. Its description in RNAcentral is "partial 16S ribosomal RNA". It matches the Rfam family "Bacterial small subunit ribosomal RNA", at positions 107 to 356 of the family's 1533-position model. The record is from RNAcentral. Lineage: Bacteria; Bacillati; Actinomycetota; Actinomycetes; Bifidobacteriales; Bifidobacteriaceae.